AGAGUUUGAUUCUGGCUCAGAACGAACGCUGGCGGCGUGGAUAAGACAUGCAAGUCGAACGAGAGAAUUGCUAGCUUGCUAAUAAUUCUCUAGUGGCGCACGGGUGAGUAACACGUGAGUAACCUGCCCCCGAGAGCGGGAUAGCCCUGGGAAACUGGGAUUAAUACCGCAUAGUAUCGAAAGAUUAAAGCAGCAAUGCGCUUGGGGAUGGGCUCGCGGCCUAUUAGUUAGUUGGUGAGGUAACGGCUCACCAAGGCGAUGACGGGUAGCCGGUCUGAGAGGAUGUCCGGCCACACUGGAACUGAGACACGGUCCAGACACCUACGGGUGGCAGCAGUCGAGAAUCAUUCACAAUGGGGGAAACCCUGAUGGUGCGACGCCGCGUGGGGGAAUGAAGGUCUUCGGAUUGUAAACCCCUGUCAUGUGGGAGCAAAUUAAAAAGAUAGUACCACAAGAGGAAGAGACGGCUAACUCUGUGCCAGCAGCCGCGGUAAUACAGAGGUCUCAAGCGUUGUUCGGAAUCACUGGGCGUAAAGCGUGCGUAGGCUGUUUCGUAAGUCGUGUGUGAAAGGCGCGGGCUCAACCCGCGGACGGCACAUGAUACUGCGAGACUAGAGUAAUGGAGGGGGAACCGGAAUUCUCGGUGUAGCAGUGAAAUGCGUAGAUAUCGAGAGGAACACUCGUGGCGAAGGCGGGUUCCUGGACAUUAACUGACGCUGAGGCACGAAGGCCAGGGGAGCGAAAGGGAUUAGAUACCCCUGUAGUCCUGGCAGUAAACGGUGCACGCUUGGUGUGCGGGGAAUCGACCCCCUGCGUGCCGGAGCUAACGCGUUAAGCGUGCCGCCUGGGGAGUACGGUCGCAAGAUUAAAACUCAAAGAAAUUGACGGGGACCCGCACAAGCGGUGGAGUAUGUGGCUUAAUUCGAUGCAACGCGAAGAACCUUACCUGGGCU
Molecule: ribosomal RNA, 953 nt
Filed under: human gut metagenome
Description: bacterial SSU rRNA
Rfam family: Bacterial small subunit ribosomal RNA
Source: RNAcentral